Molecule: long non-coding RNA, 867 nt
Organism: Bubalus bubalis (water buffalo)
Lineage: Eukaryota; Metazoa; Chordata; Mammalia; Artiodactyla; Bovidae
Exons: 2
Source: RefSeq, a predicted model, not a curated record
CUCGAGCAACGUAUCGAAUAGUCCUUUGGGUCAGGGGAAGGGCAACCCAGGGUACUCUCAUCAAAGUCAAUCCCUACUUAGCGUCCGAUGCUUUCGAUGCCUUCAUUCCGGGUCCUUCUCGCACUAGCGUUUCCAACUCUGAGGCUGCCCUGGAGAUGCCGCUCACCUCCGGCCCUCCUUUUCCGCAGCUCCCAAAACUUGGACUCGAACCGACACGCCUUCAAAGACGUGAGGCUGGAGAAGAAUGAAUAAAGAAACUUGGUCAGAUCUACCUAUCACUUCCCUAGUCUCUAGGUUGCCGGAAGUUCCGCUGUGGCGCUAAGAGAAAGAAAGAACACAAAGAUGAACAAGAAGGGCCCCCGGAUCAAGAGAGAACUCCAGAAGUGAGCAAGAGGAAAGAGAGUAGUGGGGCCCCGCCAUGGAUUUAAAAUAUAUCCCAACGCCAUUUUGCUGGAAGUUCCUCAAAUUCCAUUUUUGCAAAGCCAACGGUCCCGAGCCUGAGCUUGGAGAGACCAGAUGAAAUGAGAUGUUUUUUUGAGUCUUGAACAAACUAUUCCUUACUUCGUGAAAACGAAUGACAGCAGUCACGGAAAGGCUCAGAAAUCCCCCCCAUGUUGUGCAUUGAUGUCCCUUACAUUGUCUUGUUUUUAUGUUUCUUGAACUUUCACAGUGACUGAAACACAAUGCUGCUGCUGCUGCUGCUGCUAAGUCGCUUCAGUCGUGUCCGACUCUGUGCGAUCCCAGAGACGGCAGCCCACCAGGCUCCCCUGUCCCUGGGAUCCUCCAGGCAAGAACACUGGAGUGGGUUGCCAUUUCCUUCUCCACUGAAACACAAUAAAUCUCCACAAAUUGUAUUUACUGAUAACC